Eptatretus burgeri (inshore hagfish) is the source of this 2337-nucleotide long non-coding RNA. NCBI's taxonomy places the organism in Eukaryota, Metazoa, Chordata, Myxini, Myxiniformes, Myxinidae. The record is from Ensembl.
GUGUAUUGCUACAUCAAGCUUUUCUUGUUUAAACAAUGCUCAGUCUAUGGGUAGUGAGAGAAGACAUAUCGGAAGACUUAAUAAGGCGGAGUGGGAGGUGAGAGUAGACACCUAGGAAGAUUCAGCGUACGUUUACCAUCGGAUAUAAUGCUCUUGCAUGUCUGUACAGCACUUCUAGUGUGGUGUGCAGUGUUGGUGCCUGAGAUCCAGGGAGCUGGUUUACAUCGCGCAUUUCAUUUGGAUGUGUCGAUUUCUCCCCAACAGCUCACAGCGAGCCCUGGAGAGAAUGUCAGCUUCUCCUGUCAUUUCGGCAUGAGAGAAGGCACACAUGACGGUGUUCAACAGAUAAAGAGGGAAACAGCCAACAAGAACCUUGAACAUGGAGAUAAUGUGUUUGGGCAAGAAAAACAAACUGGUGAUGACGUUGAUGAUGAAAUCUCAGAACAAAAACUGCAAAGGAAGAGAAAAAAGACAAGAAUAAAAAGGAGUUCUGCAGGGGAUAUCAUCAUUUUAUGGUCACACAAGACAAACGAUGGAAAUGAAACGAGAGUUUUGAGCUAUGACGAAGGUUGGAGCAACCACAGUGGCAUUUGGCGUUCGGGCCAGGUCCAUAAAGGCCAAAUUGCCAUCCAUUUUGUAGCAUCUGCAGAUAUGACAGGGGUGUUCAAAUGUCGUGUGCUCCGUGCUUCUUUGUCCGACAUGAAAGAAGGAUUCGCGGAGGCGAUGCUCAACAUUGAUAAAGGUAAGGCCUACUCAUGGACAUGUAUAGCCAGGCACCAGAAUACUAACCGAAAUAUCUCCAGUAUUCAAAAGUCUCAAGCAAAUGCAACUGUACAUUAUUCUUAUUCUUCUUCAUCAAAUGUGUUACAGAGAUGAGCUCCACUGAGAUGAGCUCCACUGAGAGAAGCACAAGUGAUAUACCAUUUACCAGCAUCAGAAACAUUUAUACAGUGCUUCCUACUCUUCAUUCCUCGGCCCCUUGGCAGUUGAAUUUGACAGUCAUUGUGAUCAGCAUGUUGGCAGCUAUUCUGGCAAUCCAUUGAAGUUUCUCAUUCAGGAAGCACCAUCAAGGAUUUCAUGACACUGAUACACUACAUGGCAAAAGUAUGUGGACACCCCUUCAAAUUAGUUGAUUUGGCUAUUUCAGCCACACCCAUUGCUAAAAGGUGUAUAAAAUCAAGCACACAGCCAUGCAAUCUCCAUGGACAAACAUUGGCAACAGAAUGGGCCAUACUGAAGAGCUCAGUGAUUUUCAACGAGGCACUGUCAUAGGAUGCCACCUUUCCAACAAGUUAGUUCAUCAAAUUUCUGCCCUGCUCGAGCUGCCUCGGUCAACUGUUAGUGCUGAUGUUGUGAAGUGGAUAUUUUAAGAAAUAAAAAAAAAGCUGGCUGAUAUCAAACCUUUGUCCUGUAUCCCCUUUUGCUUGCUGUUCUAUCUCUGUAAAUCUGUGAUAAAGCAUUUAAGACAACCUAUACCAAUGUAGUCGUUGAGGGAACUCCAGAUCGGGGAACCACAACCAAACACUAUUCUUUUCAAAGUGGGACUCCAACUGUAUUCCAGUUAUGAAAUGCCAAACCAAGCCAAAAUGGUGGACAACCCAGAAUGGAAACAGCAUUAUUUUUGGCCGUAUCUCUCAAUGGUGAAGAAUAACUUUAAAAUUUUUAUAGUAUCUGGAUCUUCAACAAAAUCGAAUCAAUUGCUCCUCUGUCACACACCCAUCCUGUCCACCAAGUUUCAUCCAAAUCCGUCGAUUUCUUGGCCACUGAUAAGUCAAUGGUCGUAUUUGCAGCAAGUGGAGAGAAAAUACUGCAGAGCAGAGAAAAUAUUAAUUGUGAAGUUUGAGGCUAAGAUUACCAUUGGAAAAUUAGAUGAACAUUCAAAUAGGCCCAUCAUGAGGGUACACUGUGCUCCAGCCUUGUGGAUUAUUUUGCCCCACGAAAAGCAUCGACAUAAAUUGUCAUGACAACAACUGGAAGAACCACAACAAUAUGUUCAAGGGCAAUUCCGUAAACUGUCGUACAGGACAUUUAGUGAUAUUUUCGAUCCCAAAGUAUAAAAACUUGACAUGAAAUCUGGCAUCCAGCAGUAAUAAUAAAAAGUCUGUGAGUUUACUGACCUUUGAAAAUUGUAUUGACAUUUGUUGGACAAGUGGUCUGCCUCAUCAAAACAUGAACUGAAGUUAUCAUUUCAUCGAUAAUAAAUUAGAGGGGUAAGUUUUUGACACCUGUCUUACAGGACAGUUUUCACCUUAUCAAUAUUUGUCCGCUUUGAGGCGAUAAAAUCAGUUAUUUUUGUUUAAAACAUGUAAUAAACUUGAUAUAGAAUGUAACAUGGUG